Lytechinus pictus (painted urchin) is the source of this 6302-nucleotide RNA transcript. It is a transcript of the gene named retinol dehydrogenase 8-like, with no coding region annotated. Lineage: Eukaryota; Metazoa; Echinodermata; Echinoidea; Temnopleuroida; Toxopneustidae. The transcript is spliced from 6 exons. The record is from RefSeq and is a predicted model, not a curated record.
UAUAUGCAAGCUAAACAUAUCGGUAUGAGGUUAUACACUCAUAUUGUUGAGCUUGAUCCGGUAGACUUUAUUCAGUAAGCUGCAUUUAGGUGUGGAGAAGAAUCACUGUUUAUCAUUGUUUUGAUGAUUUGAAAAGGACUGUCGACAGCAAUCUUCUUCUGUCAGUUUAUUAGCCUUCUCCCUCAUCUUGUGUUCCUAAGUCUGAGAAAAUGUCUCGUCAAAUCGUUCUCAUGACUGGCUGCUCAGCGGGUAUUGGUCUUGCCACAGCUAAACAUUUCUCAUUGGACCCCGAUCAGCGAUACAUCGUCAUCGCUACCAUAAUCGCGAUGUCAGAGAAGAACGAUUUGGUGACUGCUGUAGGGGACGCUCUAAACAAAACAAUUUUUAUUGAGGAAUUAGACGUGACGAGGGAUACUGACAUCACAACUGUAGUUGAGAGAACCCUCAAAGAAUACGGGAGAAUAGAUAUCCUUCUCAAUAUCGCCGGUAUCUGUUCCGUCAGUAUUCCCGAGCGGAUGCCGAGGGACAUGAUGGAGAAGAUGUUCAACGUGAAUGUGUUUGGUGCGAUUAGACUCACUCAGGCAGUCUUACCUCAGAUGAAACGAAGAAAGACGGGAAAGAUCAUCGUCAUCUCAAGUAUAGCAGGAAGGACAGCAUGGCCCUAUUUAGAAGUAUACAGCUCGAACAAAUUCGCAUUGGAGGGAUACUUUGAAGCCCUUGCUGUUGGUUUACGUGCAUUCAAUAUCAGAGUUUGUCUCGUCGAGCCUGGAGGAGUUAAAACUUACAUAUUGAGAGAAUCAAUAAAAAGCAUCGAACAUUUACUCCAAGAUGGCUCCAUCGAAGAAAACGAUCGUCGUCAGCUCGAAGGAUUGGCGGGUAUAAUCGCCGAAGAUAAGGGCCCCACCAAAGUCACGUCUGAAACUGUCGCCGAGGCCAUAAUGACAAGGUGUAUUGACCUUGAGAAACCGGCGUUGAGGCAUUUCCUUGCAGAGGAGUUUUACGAGAACGUACAAGCAGGGCUGGCAGAUAUGACUGGAGAAAAGGCUGUCGCGAGUUCGCAGGGAAUGUUCUGAUUUCUACACAUCUUCACUGCAGUUUCAAUUGACAGAAGUUCCUGAAACAAAGUUUCGAACACACCUGUAAUCUUACUGUACUCUGUAAUCUUACACUAAUGCUUAAUAUUACAGAAAAUUGGUAUUUGUUGUAUGGAACCUUACAAAUUUCCUGUAAUCAUGGGUAAUAAAAGUGCUUCUUUUUCCUUUUUCUAAAGACCUGAAUUGCAGAAAAUGUCCUAUUAUAACAAUGAUAAAGAAUAAUUCUGUUUAUUUUCCUUUUUCUUCUGUUCUUUAAAAUACUUUCUGUUAAAUCUAUUUUUUAUACAGUGUAGUAUAUGGGGAAGAAUGACUACCUUUUUUAUAGGUGGACAGAGAAAGUUCCCUAUAAGUUUACUCCAAUAGUUUUCAUCGCACGUCGACAUCCACCUGCGAUUGUUAAAGGUCAAGUCUACCCCAGAAAAAUGUUGAUUUGAAUGAAUAGAGAAAAAUCAAACUAGCGUGACGCGGAAAUUUUUUAUCAAAAUCGAAUAUAGAAUAAGAGAGUAUAUGACAUUUCAAAGUUUUGCUUAUUUUUAACAAAACAGUGAUAUGCACAAUUCAUUGACAUGCAAAUGAGACAGUCAAUUUUUUCCUUCACUCACUAUUUUUUUUGGGAAUAAUACAAUAUUACAUUUUUUACAUAUUUGAUAACAAGGACCAAGUUGACUAAACAAUAUUAAACAAUGCUAAUUUCAUAUGUUCAGGGAGGAAUUAAUCGUUGUUUCACUUGAUAUGGAUUUUUUAGUAAUGCUUACCUUGCUUGGGACUCGAACUCACCUCGUUGUAACUGCAGUCAAGACCUCUUCCCGCUCUGCUGGCGAGAAGCAAUGAUACCGGAAGUGAUUUUUAAGCGAUUAUGUGCCGAUAGUUCGAGUAAUCUAGACUUACAGACCCGUUACUGAUUAAAUAAACCUAUGUCUAUGAACAAUUACACACACUCGAUCCUGCUCGAAAAAAAUUGACGGAAUAAAGCCAUAUUUUAAUUGGUACUCAUUUCCACUCUCGCAACAUAUAUGUUUUAUAUUAGGACUAGAUAUAUUAUUUUGAACUUUUUUCAUAUUAAAAAAAAAAUUUAUUGGGGGUACACACUCUUCCCCAAAUUAGCACCUAUAAGGUGCAAAGUUAAACCUAAGACUGCCAUGGAUCCUAUCAGGAUUCACCGUGCCUGGCCGUCCGCAAUGUCCGUUUGGCCAAGUGGGUUACGGAAUUCUUCUGUGCUGCACAUAAUCAGAGUCAGUAUUUGAACUGACUUCUAACUCUACCUUUAAUUAGGCAAUAAUUAUUUGGCACAAACAGGAAAGAAAUGGUGGAUCGUGUGCAUGGGGUAAGACACCUAUAAUUGCAGUUAUUGAAACGCUAAAAUGACUAUCUUUGCCAAAUGACCUGAUUCCCCGAAUAAAACUUAAAAGAAAAAGCUUAGACCACUUUUCUUACAAUUAAUCUUACCGAAACAGUCACGACAAACGUAACAUAUUCAGAAAUAUUCAAAUUAUGCAAUUAUUUUGUUAAUUCAAAGACCCCUCAGCACGUACGAUUUAUAAGCAGAUGGUUCCCAGACCCUGUAAACUCAUUACUAUAUUUUAGGCGCAAUUUCGCAAGUAAAAACGUAUGCCAGACACACUCUUACACACACACACAAACAAGAUAAGUAUUUUUUCAUUGCUGAACAGGUUCAACUUUGCAAGUAUUUUUGAUAAGGAUGACAGGAACCUAGACUAUAUGCGAGGUUCGAAAUUGCACCCAAACCACCCGCUGUGGGCCUGGGCCUGCGCAGGCGCGGUGGCUAGUGAAAGGUGCAACUAUAUGCUCGAAUACUUGCUCUGUACUUUUUCCCGCAAAGUUGCAUCUUAAAUUCUUGCACCCCUAUUUCUUAGUGUGAAUGUGCAACUCGAGACGAAAUGUUACCUUUUUUCUUUUCCAUGACAACGAUAAUGGUUUAUAAAUGUAUCCACAAAUUAGUCCCCUCAAUUCUUGCAAACAGAUUUACUUUUUACGAUGAUACAGCAGAACGAACCACGCGCAAUUUUAUUCAAGUUAAAUCAUAAGCUACUAGAGGUAGAACAGAAUAUUACAAACGGUCAUUUGUUAACGCGGGCAUAGUCCAGUGGAAUAAUCUCACAGUUAAAAUUCGACGCUCCCCUAAUCUGAACAGUUUCAAAAAUAAUCUGUAAACAUUGACAAAUCAACUCCAUACUACUACUUACACCCACUCUAUUAAAUUUAACUAUCAAUGGGUCAUACAAUUUUCAGUCUUUUUAUCUUGAUUCCUUGAUUUGAUGUUGAUGGUAUAUAGUAGAUUAUGUCAGAUAAUGUUGAUGUCUAUUUGAUAUCGCACAUAUGUAUUUUAUAAUUUUAGUAUUUGUAUCUAUGGAUGCAUAAGUACUGAGUGAGAAAACUGCAUUUUUCCGCCUGUCACUUGUAAAGAAAUAAUUGAAAUAGUUUGUAAAUUGAAAAAGAAUUCCAGUCCUGGUUUUGAUAAUUUACACAUAUCUGUUGUUAAACGUGUCAUUCAUGUCAUUUGUGUUCCUCUUUGUAAAAUCUUAAAUAUGUCUAUAGCUAAAGUUGUAUUUCCUGAUAAAAUGAAAAUAUCUAAAGUAAUUCCAGUUUUCAAAGGUGGUGCUGAUAAUGAUGUAAGUAAUUAUAGACCCACAUCUGUUCUUCCUGUCUUUUCUAAAAUUCUUGAAAAGUGUUUUUACUCCAGGUUAUAUGAAUUUCUUGAAAAAUGUAAUAUCAUUUCAGAACAUCAGUAUGGUUUUAGACCGGGGCAUUCCACGUCUUCUGCACUUCUUGAGCUCAUCCAUAAAGUUAGCAAUUGUUUUGACAAGAAAGAAAUUAUGUUGGGUUUAUUUCUUGAUUUGUCAAAAGCCUUUGAUACUCUCGAUCAUUUUAUUUUGUUACACAAGCUCAGUAAUUAGGGUAUAAGGGGUGUGUUAUUAGAUUGGUGUCAGAGCUAUUUCAUUGAUCGUAAACAGUUUGUAUAUGUUAACAAUAUUACUUUCGAAACAGAAUGCAGCAAAUGUGGAGUGCCCCAGGGUUCAAUUUUAGACCCGUUGUUAUUUCUUAUUUAUAUGAAUGAUAUAUACAAUGUAUCGUGUCAUCUUGAUUUUAUUCAGUUUGCAGAUGAUACCAGUGUUUUCAUGUCACAUACAAACCCACAGUUACUAAACGAUAAGUUCAAUAGUGUAUUGGUACCUUUAGAUAAAUGGUUAUCUUUAAAUAAACUAGUACUUAAUAUUAAAAGAACAAAUUACAUGAUAUUUACGAAUAAGCAUUUACAUACACAAUUUAAUGUAAAUAUGGGGAAUAAAAACAUUUCAUUAGUAUCUUCAUUAACUUUUUAGGGGUGAUAAUAUACAACAAAUUAACAUGGCAUGAACACAUUGGUAUCAUCUGUAACAAAGUUUCCAAAGGAGUUGGUAUUAUCAACAGAUUACGAUUCUUGCCAAAAUCCAUAUUGAUGACUAUAAAGUGCAAUUAUUUUACCUUAUUUAAACUAUUGUAAUAUAGCCUGGUGUAAUUCAAAUAGCUCAUGUAUAAACAGACUCUUCUUAUUGCAGAAAAAGGUUGUCCGUAUCAUUACAAAGUCCUCUUAUCUCCCACUCGAAGCCACUUUUUUUCUCAAUUACAGAUUUUGAAUAUUUAUGAUUUAAAUCUCUAUAAUAUUGGAAUUUUUAUGUAUCUUUGUUGCAGAAAUAAAAUUCCUAUUCAAAUUUAUUGACUUGUCGAAGGCGUUUGACACAAUUAAUCAUAACAUACUUUUAUCAAAACUAACUAUGGUAUUCGUGGAACUGCCCUCGACCUUUUUUCUAGUUACCUCUCAAAUCGUAAACAAUGCACCGUUUAUAACUCCGUUCAGUCUGAAUUUAAGACAAUUAAAUGUGGAGUACCACAAGGGUCAUUGCUUGGCCCACUUUUGUUUAUUAUAUUUAUUAAUGACAUUUAUCGUUCGUCAAAUCUCCUUUCCUUUAUCAUGUACGCCGACGAUACCAAUAUUGUUUAUUCUGAUAGAAAUCUUCAUCACUUGUGUGAAACUGUAAAUACUGAACUAACAAAUGUUUGUAAAUGGUUUUGUGCAAACAAGCUUACCAUUAACUAUAAAAAAUGCAAUUACAUAUAUUCCGUAACUCCACAAGGCGUAUUGAUUUUAAUCAUGUAGUGGUGAAACUUAACAACCAAAUUAUUCCCAGAGUUGAAAAUACAAGGUUUCUUGGCGUUAUUAUUAAUAGUAAUUUAACAUGGAUACAUCACAUAAAUGAAAUUGAGAACAAAGUUGCAAAAAAUAUUGGAAUAAUACAUCGCCUAAGUUUUUACUUGCCUAAAACUAUAUUGCGUACAUUAUAUUGCUCUUUAAUCUUGCCAUAUUUUUAUUACUGUAAUUUGGUCUGGGCGAACACAUACCAAACCCAUCUUAAGAAAUUAUGUUCCCUUCAAAAUGAAAUUGUGCGUAUUAUUUCUCCAGAUUACAAUAUACCACUAGCAAAUACUAAAAAUUUGUUUCAUUCCCUAAAAUUGUUGAAAUUAGACGACAUCAAUAAACUUCAAUAAUGUCAGUUUCUCUACAGGUGUUUAAAUUCUCAAAUUCCACACAAAUUUCGUGAUUUGUUUACGCAUGUUUCCAACAUACAUAAUUUUGAUACCCGCUCAAAUAAUCAAAUAUUAAUUCCCAAAUAUAGAAAAAUUAUCUUUCAACACAACAUUCGUUAUACUGGCCCCAAAAUAUGGAACGAAAUACCGGAUUACAUAAAACAAUCUCUAUCGUCAACUAGCUUUAAGUAUAAAAUGAAAAAAACUGCUUCUGUCAUUUUAUAUAUGAAUAUUUUCCAACUUACGAUUCCUUUUGACUUUAAGUUAACAUGAACCAUGGACAAUUGUUGUUGCGGCAUUUAUAUUUUGCCCCCACUGAUACAUUUGUUGAGCAUUCUAUUUUAUACAUUAAUUCAUGCCCGCCUCCCGCUCACGUCUCCCUCUCUCGUUCCCUUUCCUUCUUUUCUUUUCUCUGCCCUUUCUUUUGUAUUGUAUUUUGUAUUGUAUUUCUGUCUAUAGGCGUAUAUAUCCCGUCACAAGCCUCGGCUUUUAGGGUAUACGCCUUCUUCUUUAUACCAAACAUGUACACAUUUAUAUUCCUCAUAACAAUUUGAUUUUUGUAUGAACUAAUGUUUAUGAAAAAUGUUUUGAAAUGGAAGAAAAUAAAUGUUUAUUUGAAUUGAA